ACGUUGGAAUUCCUCGACGGGCGUAGUCACGAUCGCUGAUGCUUUUUUCAGUGCGUAAGACACUUUUUUUUUCUCACGAAUGUUUAACCUCUCAAGUGUUCGAAUGUUUCAGUUUUGUUUAUAAUUUCCGUGUGUUAAAGUUCUAUUUUUCUAUUUGGAGACAUCAUAAUAUUUGAGCAAUACAACAAGCUCCUCAAUCAAUGCACGUCAGCUAGUACAAGAAAGGUUGCCGAGUUUUGAGUGUAUAGUGAACAACAGCAAGGUGUGCUUCUGCAGAAGUGGAAAACAGUGAUGUGAUACAAGUGCCAGUGUAUGUCAGUGGUUCAUUCUGAACGAUCAGCUAUCGAGUAGCCAGAAAGCUGCUGGUUACGUGAAAAAACCUUCGAUAAAUCAAUCAAAAUUUGUUGUCUCGUCUUAACUAACUGGAAACAACACACAUUUUUUGUAAACGUACAGCUAAAGCAAUACACAAAAGUACCUCCCCAGGUAGCGUGUACGUGUAUCGAUUGUAAAUGAUGAGUACCAAAAACAGAGGUUAAAAUGGAGGUAAUUAAAAAUUACCUCUGCAUUUCGGUUCCGGAAUUAGCUCUGCGACUUAGUGAAUAUGUAUUAAUCGAACGUCGAUCGGUAAGUUAAACUGAUUUAGGAAAUAUU
Molecule: long non-coding RNA, 654 nt
Organism: Anopheles merus
Lineage: Eukaryota; Metazoa; Arthropoda; Insecta; Diptera; Culicidae
Exons: 3
Source: RefSeq, a predicted model, not a curated record